ACGGGGUGCAGCAGGCGCGAAAACUUUGCAAUGUGCGAAAGCACGACAAGGUUAAUCCGAGUGGUUUGUGCUAAACAGACCUUUUGUUAGUCCUAGAAACACUAACGAAUAAGGGGUGGGCAAGUUCUGGUGUCAGCCGCCGCGGUAAAACCAGCACCUCAAGUGGUCAGGAUGAUUAUUGGGCCUAAAGCAUCCGUAGCCGGCUCUGUAAGUUUUCGGUUAAAUCUGUAUGCUCAACAUACAGGCUGCCGGGAAUACUGCAGAGCUAGGGAGUGGGAGAGGUAGACGGUACUCGGUAGGAAGGGGUAAAAUCCUUUGAUCUAUUGAUGACCACCUGUGGCGAAGGCGGUCUACCAGAACACGUCCGACGGUGAGGGAUGAAAGCUGGGGGAGCAAUCCGGAUUAGAUACCCGGGUAGUCCCAGCUGUAAACUAUGCAAACUCAGUGAUGCAUUGGCUUGUGGCCAAUGCAGUGCUGCAGGGAAGCCGUUAAGUUUGCCGCCUGGAAGUACGUACGCAAGU
This 521-nucleotide ribosomal RNA is filed under the name uncultured archaeon. RNAcentral's name for it is "bacterial SSU rRNA". It matches the Rfam family "Archaeal small subunit ribosomal RNA", at positions 325 to 848 of the family's 1478-position model. The record is from RNAcentral.